GUCCACGCCGUAAACGAUGCUAACUCGUUUUGGAUUUUCGGAUUCAGAGACCAAGCGAAAGUGAUAAGUUAGCCACCUGGGGAGUACGUCCGCAAGGAUGAAACUCAAAGGAAUUGACGGGGCCCGCACAAGCGGUGGAUUAUGUGGUUUAAUUCGAUGAUACGCGAGGAACCUUACCAAGACUUAAAUGGGAAUUGACAGGUUUAGAAAUAGACCCUUCUUCGGACAAUUUUCAAGGUGCUGCAUGGUUGUCGU
This 255-nucleotide ribosomal RNA is filed under the name uncultured bacterium. RNAcentral describes it as "partial 16S ribosomal RNA". It matches the Rfam family "Bacterial small subunit ribosomal RNA", at positions 793 to 1055 of the family's 1533-position model. The record is from RNAcentral.